Felis catus (domestic cat) is the source of this 85-nucleotide transfer RNA. It matches the Rfam family "tRNA". Rfam says of the family: Transfer RNA (tRNA) molecules are approximately 80 nucleotides in length. Their secondary structure includes four short double-helical elements and three loops (D, anti-codon, and T loops). Further hydrogen bonds mediate the characteristic L-shaped molecular structure. tRNAs have two regions of fundamental functional importance: the anti-codon, which is responsible for specific mRNA codon recognition, and the 3' end, to which the tRNAs corresponding amino acid is attached (by aminoacyl-tRNA synthetases). tRNAs cope with the degeneracy of the genetic code in two manners: having more than one tRNA (with a specific anti-codon) for a particular amino acid; and 'wobble' base-pairing, i.e. permitting non-standard base-pairing at the 3rd anti-codon position. The record is from Rfam. Lineage: Eukaryota; Metazoa; Chordata; Mammalia; Carnivora; Felidae.
GCCUGGGUGGCUCAGUCAGUUGAGCGUCUGACUUUGGCUCAGAUCAUGAUCUCACAGCUCUUGAGUUCAAGCCCCGCAUCGGGCU